CACCAUGCCACCUGGUCCAGAGCUCUCAGUGACACCAUAAGGAGAAUUCCAUGUGGGCAGACAACAUGGCAAAAACAGUUGGCUCUUCCCAUCCUGGUACAGCAGAGGGAGGAGUGUGGGAAAAAACAAUUUUCCUUUCUUCCCAUCCCUGUCCCACCCCAACAUAGCCAUUUCAGGAGGUUCUGCAGGACCCAGACUCACAGUUUCAGCAUAUGGGUCUGCACUCCUACAGGAGGCAGAAGAGUGAGCCAGCUGCAGGAGAGUCAAAAAACACCAGGAAACAUGAGCUGUCCCCGGAGAACUGCAGAGCAAAGUCCACACACUCAACAACUGUGAAGUCUCUAAGAACAGCUCUGAAGGGGACCCGAGCACAUCAGUGCAAGAAACAGAGAAGGCAACUUCCUGGAAAAGACAGAGAUGCACAAAGAGGAGGUGACCAUAAAGAACCUCUAAUCUGAUUAGGCACAUCUUCCUGCACCAGCAGGGCAUCCAGACAAGGGGUCCCGCACCUGCAAGAGCCCUGAGACAGGAAAAAUGAGGCGGGUUACAUAUUCAGGGAGAAACAGACAGCAGCAGGCAUGAGGGGCUGCCAGGGCCCUGAUUCUUCUGGAACUUGCUUUGAAGGCCCCGGGACUGGAGCAUGGCGGGGGAGUGAAAAUCCAUUCAACAAACAUGGCCAAUGGUUGCUCACUGCCAGACUAUGUAAUUGCAAAAUCCAUUUCCAGAUGGCAUGCUUGUCUGGGACACUAUAGGCACCAUGCACCCUGCAGGAGCCCUGGUGCUCCCAUCCCAGGUGCCAGCUUCCUAGACUGGACCCAGCCUGUAAAUCAUACCUGAUCCACCAGGCUCCCCACAGGUAUUACAUCAUGACUAUGUGAAAGCAACUGACAGGCCAUGAAGCCAGCAUGUAGCUCAAGGACAAUAGGGCUCACAGUACUCAUGAGGUGAAGGCUACCUCAACUCUACUGAACAGUAAGGCAAAGCCCCCGAUGUUGGGCACAGGGGAGUCCUUGGAGAACAUUCCAUCACAGGAGCCCCCAAACAGCCCUCAAACCCCUUCAAUAAAGCACUAAAUGCCUCCUUGUGGAAGACUAGAAGAGCUGAAAAGUAGAGACUGACUCCUACGCUGCUCCUAAAGCCGUGACUCAGACAUGGAUGUCUUCCACAGUUGAAUGACUUGGGCCUAGAGCUGGAGAGGUAAAGGCAUCGAUGACCAUAUCAAGAGCCAGGUGGGGUUGAACCAGAGUCCAAAUUGUAACAUGUGUGCUCUUCAACUGAAAAUGCAGUCAUAUCCCCAUAAGCCUCACCAAUGGAAAUAUUCGAACCAUAUUUCCAACCAUAUCCUUGGUUCCUCUUCUCCCACCAGAGUCUUCCCAGGAAGAACUCAUUAUCCCUCAGUUUAAAUACCACCACCCUGCUAAUGAGACCCACCACCACCCCCCAAAAAAAUUUACAAACCCACUCAGGUACCAGAGCCGUCCUGAAACACCAAAGUAUUACUGUGUCCCAAAUAGAAUUCCUGAUCAACCCAGGAUCUUACCCAACUGAAAAAGUGGCUCCACGCCAAUGCAUAGAUGUACCCCUUGAGUCAUCUCAAGAGUGUCUCCAUCACACUCCCAAACCCAUCUCUAAAAUCUCCCUACCUACCUUAUCCACUUAUCACCCUGCUCACUGUAAGUAUACUAUUAAGGUUGGCUAUACCUUAUCCAAAAUGCCUGGGACCAGAAGUGGCUCAGCU
This is a long non-coding RNA of Mus musculus (house mouse), 1738 nucleotides long. RefSeq annotates it as predicted gene, 34588. The transcript has 3 exons. The record is from RefSeq and is a predicted model, not a curated record. NCBI's taxonomy places the organism in Eukaryota, Metazoa, Chordata, Mammalia, Rodentia, Muridae.